ACGUUAGCGGCGGACGGGUGAGUAACACGUGGGUAACCUACCUAUAAGACUGGGAUAACUUCGGGAAACCGGAGCUAAUACCGGAUAAUAUUUCGAACCGCAUGGUUCGAUAGUGAAAGAUGGUUUUGCUAUCACUUAUAGAUGGACCCGCGCCGUAUUAGCUAGUUGGUAAGGUAACGGCUUACCAAGGCUACGAUACGUAGCCGACCUGAGAGGGUGAUCGGCCACACUGGAACUGAGACACGGUCCAGACUCCUACGGGAGGCAGCAGCA
This 273-nucleotide ribosomal RNA is filed under the name uncultured Staphylococcus sp. Its description in RNAcentral is "partial 16S ribosomal RNA". It matches the Rfam family "Bacterial small subunit ribosomal RNA", at positions 89 to 355 of the family's 1533-position model. The record is from RNAcentral. Lineage: Bacteria; Bacillati; Bacillota; Bacilli; Caryophanales; Staphylococcaceae.